Long non-coding RNA from Pygocentrus nattereri (red-bellied piranha), 2268 nucleotides. RefSeq lists it as uncharacterized. NCBI's taxonomy places the organism in Eukaryota, Metazoa, Chordata, Actinopteri, Characiformes, Serrasalmidae. The record is from RefSeq and is a predicted model, not a curated record. The transcript is spliced from 3 exons.
GCUGUACUGAACCAUACAUAUUUAAUUAAUAGCACUUCUAUUUAUGUUGACCAUCACUGUGAUAUUGAGUCACGCUAUGCUGGCUCAGACCCUCCUUGACCAGAAUCCGUAGCUGUUACAUAAUUUUCCCACUUUGAUGUCUAGAAAAGCCAGAGCUUGUAACUUUUCCAGAACAACUCAAAUGUUCAAUUCACACACCGAGCAUUGACUCAAACCAAAACACGACCACCUCAGAAACAGAUGGUAAACCCAGUCAAAGCGGACUGACUCCUCAUUUCAGCUCCAGUGGGUCGUUUGUUGAAAGCCUUCACAUUCAUGGUUGUUGCACAUUCACAACCAGAGAGUGAAAGAACGGCUAAAACACAGCAAUAAGCAGCGUUGACGUAUCAGUGCUCGUCAAAAGCUACUCGAAGCUUCCACCUGAUUUAGAUCUUCGACAAACCCUGUUACUGCAGCUUUCCAGCACAAGAUGGCGGCAUUGCAUCUCCAGGCAAGAGGAAGCCGAGACCAGCAACGACAUCAGGUGAGCAAGCCAGGGGCGACAGUGGCAAGGAAAAAGUCCCUCAGAGCUGAGAAAGAAACCUUGGGAGGAUCCAAGGCUCACAGGGAGGGACCUAUUCUCCUCUGGUCGAGCUACCUACGGAGUUAUUCUACUACUUUUAUUAGUAGUAGUAAUAGCUACACUCUCAGAAAAAAAGACCUUCACCUUGUGCUGAUGUCAAGAAAACCACACUAUCCUUCCUUGAAAUGACUGAAAACGUCCAGUGCAAUCGGUGUUAGAAAGAACAAGCCAAGUUUUCAAGAGUUUUAAGACGGAGUUUCAGGCUUCUGGAUUUCACUGGUUUUUGGAAUCUAUGUGUGUGAGUGACAAACUGCUCCACUAACAGGUCAAUGAGGGAGAGUUUGGCCUUCACCUCUACAGUCCUCCUAGACUUUUUAGUGCAGCUGUAAGUGAGCUUUCUGCUCUCAGUCUGUGAGUCCUCCACUCGGUAAAGUCUCCAGUGCAGUUACUGGGAUGAAGUGCUGAGUCUCAGCUCAACUCCAACUCCCUCUCCUCUAAGAGCACUUUUUGGAAGAGAGAGAGGGCGAGAGACAUUAGCAAUACAUUGAGAGGGAGAAUGUGUUAUAAUGGGGCUCCAUGAGGAAACUCAGAAAAUAAAGUGUGAGAGUGCUGAUUUGCAUAUUCAUAGCUAAUUAACCAAUCAUGUGCAGCGAAAGGGCCCAAAAAUCCAUGAGCCAUUUAUAAACCUUGUGAUAUGACUAGGAUUCUCCAUCACGGUGAAUUCAAAAAAUAACUUUAUAUACAAGUUUUUCUUCACCGCGGAUGAGAACACUAGCACAACAGAAUAAAUAUAGAGAGUGCAGCACACCAUCCUGGUGAAAAAUUGUUGCAAAAAAAAUUCAUUAAAAAAAAAAAAUCUGCCUGUGCAGACCUCACCAGCUGACCUUCACUCUUCAACUUAGUGUUGAUUCUCUCUUACUCUAGCAGCAUCAGCAGCCAUCCUGCAGGUGCUUGCUGCUAAAGCACUCUUGCUUUCAGUGAGGCUUAGAACAUCAUAAGAUCUUGUGUUACAUGAUCAGUGAUGUCCUCAGCCUCUACCCAUGUUGGGUUGAGAGCAAGGAAAGGUAAAUUUUGGACUGUGGGCCCAAAUUUGUCUGAGUAUGUUGUCAUGAAGCUGUAAGUAUGUCGGGACUACUUUUCUCAUUAAUGGUAUGUUCAUCACUAGACCCAUUGCUCCACCUCAGAUGGUAAAACGAGCACAACAGAAUGAAUAAAUAAACGCUGGUAGCACCAAAAUUUCUUCAUAACAACAUGACUUCACCCUCAUGUUAAUCUGGAAGUAGGACUCAGCAACUCUGACAACUGAAGCAGUCUUCACUCAGUCCAGACUUUAAACAAGAAGCUAUAAAACAGCUAUGCAUUUACUUUCAGUGCAGUUUAUUGGGAAGCUUAAGGUACAUCAUGACUACUUUCCUAAUUUAUGGUAAACUCACUACAAGAGCUUCACUUGGGCGUCAGGGCUACAUGUACGGUGACUACCAGGCUAGCAUGAAUGUGAAAUCUGGGUUAUUGUACUAAGCAGAGUCAAUAAAUGAUGGCUAUAUUUCGCAGUUUAUUGUAUGAGCAGUUAAAGCUUGAAGGCAACGCUACUACCUCUGUUAUUGCUCUUGAAAAAACACGUUAACCAGCUUCUUUGACUGGCUUAUAAAGCGGCACAUAUUAUCAGCACAGGCUGCAUAUGCAGGCUUAAAGAAAGAUACAUCUUU